This 841-nucleotide ribosomal RNA is filed under the name uncultured bacterium. Its description in RNAcentral is "bacterial SSU rRNA". It matches the Rfam family "Bacterial small subunit ribosomal RNA", at positions 8 to 836 of the family's 1533-position model. The record is from RNAcentral.
AGAGUUUGAUCCUGGCUCAGGAUGAACGCUAGCUACAGGCUUAACACAUGCAAGUCGAGGGGCAUCAUUAUCGAAGCUUGCUUUGAUAGAUGGCGACCGGCGCACGGGUGAGUAACGCGUAUCCAACCUUCCCCUUAGUAGAGGAUAGCCCGGCGAAAGUCGGAUUAAUACUCUAUGUUGUAUUUUGAGGACAUCUGACGAAUACCAAAGAUUUAUCGCUAAGGGAUGGGGAUGCGUCUGAUUAGCUUGUCGGCGGGGUAACGGCCCACCGAGGCGACGAUCAGUAGGGGUUCUGAGAGGAAGGUCCCCCACAUUGGUACUGAGACACGGACCAAACUCCUACGGGAGGCAGCAGUGAGGAAUAUUGGUCAAUGGGCGUAGGCCUGAACCAGCCAAGUAGCGUGCAGGAAGACUGCCCUAUGGGUUGUAAACUGCUUUUAUGCGGGAAUAAAGUCAGGUACGUGUACCUGUUUGCAUGUACCGCAUGAAUAAGGACCGGCUAAUUCCGUGCCAGCAGCCGCGGUAAUACGGAAGGUCCGGGCGUUAUCCGGAUUUAUUGGGUUUAAAGGGAGCGCAGGCGGAGGAUUAAGCGUGACGUGAAAUGUCCCGGCUCAACCGUGGAACUGCGUCGCGAACUGGUUUUCUUGAGUGAGUGCGACGUCGGCGGAAUUCGUGGUGUAGCGGUGAAAUGCUUAGAUAUCACGAAGAACCCCGAUUGCGAAGGCAGCCGACGAGUCCUUAACUGACGCUAAAGCUCGAAAGUGCGGGUAUCGAACAGGAUUAGAUACCCUGGUAGUCCGCAUCGGUAAACUGAUGGAUGCCCCCUGUCCGCAAUACACUG